Molecule: non-coding RNA, 70 nt
Organism: Dipodomys ordii (Ord's kangaroo rat)
Lineage: Eukaryota; Metazoa; Chordata; Mammalia; Rodentia; Heteromyidae
Source: Rfam
AGGAAUGUAGCUUAGUGGUAGAGUGCUUGCCUCUAAUGCAUGAAACCCUGGGUUAGAUUCCUCACUACCA